GUUACGCUAAUACCGCAUAUUCUGUGAGCAGGAAAGCAGGGGAUCGCAAGACCUUGCGCUCUGGGAGCGGCCGAUGUCGGAUUAGCUAGUUGGUGGGGUAAAGGCCUACCAAGGCGACGAUCCGUAGCGGGUCUGAGAGGAUGAUCCGCCACACUGGGACUGAGACACGGCCCAGACUCCUACGGGAGGCAGCAGUGGGGAAUUUUGGACAAUGGGCGGAAGCCUGAUCCAGCCAUGCCGCGUGAGUGAAGAAGGCCUUCGGGUUGUAAAGCUCUUUUCGGCCGGGAAGAAAUCGCAUGGGUCAAUACCCUGUGUGGAUGACGGUACCGGAAUAAGAAGCACCGGCUAACUACGUGCCAGCAGCCGCGGUAAUACGUAGGGUGCGAGCGUUAAUCGGAAUUACUGGGCGUAAAGCGUGCGCAGGCGGUUUGGUAAGUCAGAUGUGAAAUCCCCGGGCUCAACCUGGGAACUGCAUUUGAGACUGCCAAGCUGGAGUUUGGCAGAGGGGGG
RNAcentral lists this ribosomal RNA (510 nucleotides) under uncultured bacterium. RNAcentral describes it as "bacterial SSU rRNA". It matches the Rfam family "Bacterial small subunit ribosomal RNA", at positions 157 to 661 of the family's 1533-position model. The record is from RNAcentral.